CAGGUAGAAAUUAGUUUCUCUCUGUAAGUAGUAUUAUAUUUUUUUAGAGGUUUAUUGAAGAUUAAGGAUUAAAGAAAAUACAGGAUAAGAAACACGUGUCCAGGCCAUAGAGUGGACUACAUUAUGAAAAAAAGCCACAUCUGCCCCAAACGGAAGUCCAAGACCCAAGAGACCCUUAAAAGCCCUUGAAUCAGCUUAAAUACCUUCUCGAUCUCGGCCCAGAAGGUCUGAGGGCUCCUGAUGGGAUUUGGAUCAACUGGUGUGGGCCAAAUAAUCCCCGAGCCAAAAAAAAAGAAAAAAGAAAAAAAAACAACCUCCUCCUCCACAAUCUGUGUUGAAUGCCCUGAGACUGGCCCAGUUACUUUCAAGAAAAGAAUACAGACUAAAGAAGAGACAGCAGAAGAUGACCAACAUUUAAGCACACCCAAACCUUCGGAAAAAAUGGAAAUUGGUCACAAGUUCUUGAAGACUUUAAACCCAAGAUUGUCAGAAAAAUGGAAGAGAGGUGGCAAGAAAAGUAGUAAAUAGUUCAAAAAGAAAAUAACAGUUUAAAUGACAGGAUCUCCCAUUUGGAAAUUAAAGCCCAGAAAUCAAAUGAAAUAAUAAGCAAAAUGAAGACCAGAAAUGACCUGCUGGAAAUCAUGUAAAGCAGGAUAGAUCAAAUUAACAAGCAAAAUCAAAAGAUCUUAGCUGUAAACCAGUCAUUAAAAACUAGAAUUGGGCAAGUAGAAGCCAAUGAUCUCACAAGACAGCAAGAAUUAGUAAAGCAAAGUCAAAAGAAUGACAGAUUAGAAGGAAACAUAAAAUAUCUCAUUGAGAGGGUGGUUGACCUUAAAAAUAGAUAUUGGAGAGAUAAUUUGAGAAUCAUAGGCCUACCUGAAAACCUGGAACCAAACAGAAACACUGACACCAUACUUCAAGAACUUAUCCAAGAAAACUUCCCUGAGGUUCUGCAACAAGAGGGCAAAAUAGACAUUGAAAAAGUCCAUAGAUCAGACUACACUAAAUACUAAAAAGACAACCCCCAGGAAUGUAAUUGCCAAAUUCCAGAGCUUCCAAGCUAAGGAAAAAAAUAUUACAAUAAGCCAGAAAGAGACAAUUCAGCUAUCAAGGAAUACCAAUCAGGAUUACACAGGAUCUGGCAGCCUCAACACUAAAAGACCACAAAGCUUGAAAUACAAUGCCCAGAAAGGCAAGAGAAUUGGGUUUACAACCAAGGAUCACCUACUGAUCAAAAUUGACUUUAUACUUCCUGGAGAAAGUAUGGGCAUUCAAAAAAAUAGAAGACUUCCAAAUAUUUGCAAAAAAAAAAGACCAGAACUAAACAGAAAAUUUGACAACAAUAUACAAAAACCAAGAGAAACAUGAAAAGGUAAAUAAGAAAGAAAUGGAUCUUAUUUUUUCUUCCAUUUCUUUAAGGGCCUCAAUAAGGCCAAAUUGUUUAUAUUCUUAAAGGGAAAAUAUUAUUUGUAACUCACAAAAAAUUGUAUUCAUUAUUAUAGUAGUAAGAAGAAUUAUACAUAGGUAG
RNAcentral lists this long non-coding RNA (1528 nucleotides) under Monodelphis domestica (gray short-tailed opossum). Its description in RNAcentral is "lncRNA (ENSMODG00000043884.1)". Lineage: Eukaryota; Metazoa; Chordata; Mammalia; Didelphimorphia; Didelphidae. The record is from RNAcentral.